This 468-nucleotide ribosomal RNA is filed under the name uncultured bacterium. RNAcentral's name for it is "partial 16S ribosomal RNA". It matches the Rfam family "Bacterial small subunit ribosomal RNA", at positions 28 to 507 of the family's 1533-position model. The record is from RNAcentral.
GACGAACGCUGGCGGCGUGCUUAACACAUGCAAGUCGAACGGAAACGCCCUGCUUUUGUGGGGUUCUCGAUUGGCGAACGCGUGAGUAUCACGUGUGUAACCUGCCCUUCUCUUUGGGAUAACUUCACGAAACUGGGGCUACUACCAUAUAGGAUCUCCUGCUGCAUUGUGGGGGUUGGAACUUUUCGGCGGUUGGGGAUGGACUCGCGGCUUAUCAGCUUGUUGGUGGGGUAGUGGCUUACCAAGGCGUUGACGGGUAGCCGGCCUGUGAGAGUGAGCGGCGACAUUGGGACUGAGAGAAGGCACAGACUGCGAAGGGAGGCAGAAGGGGGGAAUAUUGCACAAGGGGCGGAAGCCGGAUGCAGAAAGGCCGCGGGCUGGAUGACGGCUUUGGGGUUAAAAAAAGGUAGCGGGUGAGACGAAGGGUGAGUGAAGGUAAUGGAUAAAGAAGCACCGGCUAACUACGUG